RNAcentral lists this ribosomal RNA (443 nucleotides) under Foleyella furcata. RNAcentral describes it as "partial 12S ribosomal RNA". Lineage: Eukaryota; Metazoa; Nematoda; Chromadorea; Rhabditida; Onchocercidae. The record is from RNAcentral.
UCAUUUUAAUUUUUAACUCUAUUUGUUGUAAUAUCUUUUUUUUCUUAUUGUUUUUUAUGUUAUUUUUGUAAAAUACUUUAAUUUUUUUCUUUUUUAUGGAGAUAUUAAAAAUUUGUUUUUUGAACUGGAUUAGUACCCAGGUAAUCAAAAUUUAUUAAUUCGGGAGUAAAGUUUAAUUUAAACCGAAAAAAUAUUGACUGACUUUAGAUUUUUCUUUGGAAUAUGUGUUUGGAGAGCCCUCUUUUAUGGUAAUUUUUAUUGGCACAUGUAUGAUUGUUUAGUUUUUAUAUUAUUUUGUAAUGCUUUUGUAUUUUGCAUAAAAAACAGAUAUAUAUUUGGCUUAUAAAAUUAUUGUUCAUGUAUUACUAUUAUUAAUUUUUUUUGGAUUAAUUUUUAUUUAUUUUAUUUUGAAAUUGGAAAAGAAAGUAAUUUGAUUUUAAUAU